Molecule: non-coding RNA, 184 nt
Filed under: Gammaproteobacteria bacterium
Lineage: Bacteria; Pseudomonadati; Pseudomonadota; Gammaproteobacteria
Also listed under: 1 other name
Description: 6S RNA
Rfam family: 6S / SsrS RNA
About the family: E. coli 6S RNA was the first non coding RNA to be sequenced, but its function was unknown until recently. It consists of 184 nucleotides that fold into an extended hairpin structure with a large single-stranded internal bulge.
Source: RNAcentral
CGCUUCCUGCAGUGUUCGAUGCAGACUGGGAUCCCUCGACCCUAAUUACUUAUAUCGGGGCGGAUAUCUGCAGAUGUCUGUGCGCAAGUCCGCUACUGGCGGGAAGCCUGACGAAUCUGCGAUCUGCCCCACCUAUUGCUCUGGUUCGAGAGCAAAAGUCUGUAACGGCACAGGCGGGAAGCGC